CAGCCGCCGCGGUAAUACCGGCGGCCCGAGUGGCGGUCACUAUUAUUGGGCUUAAAGCGUCCGUAGCCGGGUUGGGAAGUCCUCCGGGAAAUCUGGCCGCUUAACGGUCAGAAUGCCGGAGGAUACUCCCAGCCUAGGGAGCGGGAGAGGCCGAGGGGAUUCCCGGGGUAGGGGUGAAAUCCUAUAAUCCCGGGAGGACCACCUGUGGCGAAGGCGCUCGGCUGGAACGCGUCCGACGGUGAGGGACGAAAGCCGGGGGAGCGAACCGGAUUAGAUACCCGGGUAGUCCCGGCUGUAAACGAUGCGGGCUAGCUGUUGGGUGGGCUUAGAGCCCACCCAGUGGCGCAGGGAAGCCGUUAAGCCCGCCGCCUGGGGAGUACGGCCGCAAGGCUGAAACUUAAAGGAAUUGGCGGG
RNAcentral lists this ribosomal RNA (414 nucleotides) under uncultured microorganism. RNAcentral describes it as "bacterial SSU rRNA". It matches the Rfam family "Archaeal small subunit ribosomal RNA", at positions 459 to 872 of the family's 1478-position model. The record is from RNAcentral.